This 514-nucleotide ribosomal RNA is filed under the name uncultured bacterium. RNAcentral's name for it is "bacterial SSU rRNA". It matches the Rfam family "Bacterial small subunit ribosomal RNA", at positions 994 to 1509 of the family's 1533-position model. The record is from RNAcentral.
AACUUAGCAGAGAUGCUUUGGUGCCUUCGGGAACUCUGAGACAGGUGCUGCAUGGCUGUCGUCAGCUCGUGUUGUGAAAUGUUGGGUUAAGUCCGCAACGAGCGCAACCCUUAUCCUUUGUUGCCAGCGGUUCGGCCGGGAACUCAAAGGAGACUGCCGGUGAUAAACCGGAGGAAGGUGGGGAUGACGUCAAGUCAUCAUGGCCCUUACGGCCAGGGCUACACACGUGCUACAAUGGCGCAUACAAAGAGAAGCGACCUCGCGAGAGCAAGCGGACCUCAUAAAGUGCGUCGUAGUCCGGAUUGGAGUCUGCAACUCGACUCCAUGAAGUCGGAAUCGCUAGUAAUCGUAGAUCAGAAUGCUACGGUGAAUACGUUCCCGGGCCUUGUACACACCGCCCGUCACACCAUGGGAGUGGGUUGCAAAAGAAGUAGGUAGCUUAACCUUCGGGAGGGCGCUUACCACUUUGUGAUUCAUGACUGGGGUGAAGUCGUAACAAGGUAGGCGUAGACGU